RNAcentral lists this ribosomal RNA (270 nucleotides) under Triticum aestivum (bread wheat). Its description in RNAcentral is "partial small subunit ribosomal RNA". Lineage: Eukaryota; Viridiplantae; Streptophyta; Magnoliopsida; Poales; Poaceae. The record is from RNAcentral.
GGAGGCUUCUAUAUCCUUCCAAAUCAUCUAUAUGAUCUUGCAAUGGAUUUGAUCCCAAGAAUGCUUAUUGUUGAUCCCAUGAAGAGAAUCACAAUCCGUGAAAUUCGAGACCACCCAUGGUUUCAGAAUCGCCUUCCUCUCUACCUGGCAGUGCCUCCACCAAACACAGCACAGCAAGCCAAAAUGAUUGACGAAGAUACACUUCAAGAUGUUGCCAAUCUGGGAUAUGACAAAGAUCAUGUGUGUGAAUCGUUGUGCAAUAGGCUAUAA